This is a non-coding RNA of Sus scrofa (pig), 486 nucleotides long. The record is from the annotation of a RefSeq genome assembly. NCBI's taxonomy places the organism in Eukaryota, Metazoa, Chordata, Mammalia, Artiodactyla, Suidae.
AACCAGCCCUGCCAGGACCCUGCAGCUCUGGCAAGGAGCCCAGCCCCAGGAUCCCAUUCUGUGAUCCAGAAAGAACACAGACCACCCGCCAUGGAGCUUCGGCUGCACUGGGUGGUCUUGUUUGCUCUCUUACAAGGUGUCCAGGGUGAGGAGAAGCUGGUGGAGUCUGGAGGAGGCCUGGUGCAGCCUGGGGGGUCUCUGAGACUCUCCUGUGUCGGCUCUGGAUUCACCUUCAGUAGUUAUCCCAUAGGCUGGGUCCGCCAGGCUCCAGGGAAGGGGCUGGAGUGGCUGGCAGAUAUUUGUAGUGGUGGUAGCACCUACUACGCAGACUCUGUGAAGGGCCGAUUCACCAUCUCCAAAGACAACUCCCAAAACACGGCCUAUCUGCAAAUGAACAGCCUGAGAACCGAAGACACGGCCCGCUAUUACUGUGCAAGAGGCACAGUGAGGGGAAAGCAGUCUGAGCCCAGACACAAACCUCCCUAG